CUUGGUCAUUUAGAGGAAGUAAAAGUCGUAACAAGGUUUCCGUAGGUGAACCUGCGGAAGGAUCAUUACAAGUGAGGCUACCGAACGUUGGAAACAGCGGUUAGGAGCUUACACCCACCCGUGUUUACAUACUAUUGUUGCUUUGGCGGGCCGUGGCCUCCACUGCGGGCUCUGCUCGUGUGUGCCCGCCAGAGAACCAAACUCUGAAUGUUAGUGAUGUCUGAGUACUAUCUAAUAGUUAAAACUUUCAACAACGGAUCUCUUGGUUCUGGCAUCGAUGAAGAACGCAGCGAAAUGCGAUAAGUAAUGUGAAUUGCAGAAUUCAGUGAAUCAUCGAAUCUUUGAACGCACAUUGCACCCUCUGGUAUUCCAGGGGGUAUGCCUGUUCGAGCGUCAUUACAACCCUCAAGCACUGCUUGGUAUUGGAUGUCACCGUUGGUGUAUCUCAAAAGUAUUAGCAGUAACAUUCAGCUUCUAGCGUAGUAAAUUUCUAGCUUUGGAGCUAAGUGUCUAAUUGUUAGAACCUCUAAUUUAUCAAAGGUUGACCUCGGAUCAGGUAGGGAUACCCGCUGAACUUAAGCAUAUCAAUAAGCGGAGGA
RNAcentral lists this small RNA (599 nucleotides) under uncultured Helotiales. RNAcentral describes it as "eukaryotic LSU rRNA". The stretch from base 243 to 396 matches the Rfam family "5.8S ribosomal RNA". The record is from RNAcentral. Lineage: Eukaryota; Fungi; Ascomycota; Leotiomycetes; Helotiales.